Molecule: ribosomal RNA, 443 nt
Filed under: Bacillus paranthracis
Lineage: Bacteria; Bacillati; Bacillota; Bacilli; Caryophanales; Bacillaceae
Description: bacterial SSU rRNA
Rfam family: Bacterial small subunit ribosomal RNA
Source: RNAcentral
UUUAUUGGAGAGUUUGAUCCUGGCUCAGGAUGAACGCUGGCGGCGUGCCUAAUACAUGCAAGUCGAGCGAAUGGAUUAAGAGCUUACUCUUAUGAAGUUAGCGGCGGACGGGUGAGUAACACGUGGGUAACCUGCCCAUAAGACUGGGAUAACUCCGGGAAACCGGGGCUAAUACCGGAUAACAUUUUGAACCGCAUGGUUCGAAAUUGAAAGGCGGCUUCGGCUGUCACUUAUGGAUGGACCCGCGUCGCAUUAGCUAGUUGGUGAGGUAACGGCUCACCAAGGCAACGAUGCGUAGCCGACCUGAGAGGGUGAUCGGCCACACUGGGACUGAGACACGGCCCAGACUCCUACGGGAGGCAGCAGUAGGGAAUCUUCCGCAAUGGACGAAAGUCUGACGGAGCAACGCCGCGUGAGUGAUGAAGGCUUUCGGGUCGUAAAAC